Molecule: small RNA, 168 nt
Filed under: uncultured Acetatifactor sp.
Lineage: Bacteria; Bacillati; Bacillota; Clostridia; Lachnospirales; Lachnospiraceae
Description: Clostridiales-1 RNA
Rfam family: Clostridiales-1 RNA
Source: RNAcentral
GAUACCAGGGUUCCAAAGUCAGGCAGGCGUUCGUGCUUGCACGAAAAGCCUUUUGACCUUGGAACCCGUCAAACAUGAGAAAGUAGCGAUUUACGUAGUAAAUCAGCGAAUUUCGAAUGUUUGCAGAAUUGCGAGAGUUGCUCUGCAACGGAGCAAUUCGUAGGUAUC